GCAUCAUGAUUUACAUUUGAGUGAGUGGCGAACUGGUGAGUAACACGUGGGAAACCUGCCCAGAAGCGGGGGAUAACACCUGGAAACAGAUGCUAAUACCGCAUAACAACUUGGACCGCAUGGUCCGAGUUUGAAAGAUGGCUUCGGCUAUCACUUUUGGAUGGUCCCGCGGCGUAUUAGCUAGAUGGUGAGGUAACGGCUCACCAUGGCAAUGAUACGUAGCCGACCUGAGAGGGUAAUCGGCCACAUUGGGACUGAGACACGGCCCAAACUCCUACGGGAGGCAGCAGUAGGGAAUCUUCCACAAUGGACGAAAGUCUGAUGGAGCAACGCCGCGUGAGUGAAGAAGGGUUUCGGCUCGUAAAACUCUGUUGUUAAAGAAGAACAUAUCUGAGAGUAACUGUUCAGGUAUUGACGGUAUUUAACCAGAAAGCCACGGCUAACUACGUGCCAGCAGCCGCGGUAAUACGUAGGUGGCAAGCGUUGUCCGGAUUUAUUGGGCGUAAAGCGAGCGCAGGCGGUUUUUUAAGUCUGAUGUGAAAGCCUUCGGCUCAACCGAAGAAGUGCAUCGGAAACUGGGAAACUUGAGUGCAGAAGAGGACAGUGGAACUCCAUGUGUAGCGGUGAAAUGCGUAGAUAUAUGGAAGAACACCAGUGGCGAAGGCGGCUGUCUGGUCUGUAACUGACGCUGA
RNAcentral lists this ribosomal RNA (692 nucleotides) under Lactiplantibacillus plantarum. Its description in RNAcentral is "bacterial SSU rRNA". It matches the Rfam family "Bacterial small subunit ribosomal RNA", at positions 69 to 749 of the family's 1533-position model. The record is from RNAcentral. Lineage: Bacteria; Bacillati; Bacillota; Bacilli; Lactobacillales; Lactobacillaceae.